GACGAACGCUGGCGGCGUGCUUAACACAUGCAAGUCGAACGGAAAGGCCCUGCUUUUGUGGGGUGCUCGAGUGGCGAACGGGUGAGUGACACGUGAGUAACCUGCCCUUGACUUUGGGAUAACUUCAGGAAACUGGGGCUAAUACCGGAUAGGAGCUCCUGCUGCAUGGUGGGGGUUGGAAAGUUUCGGCGGUUGGGGAUGGACUCGCGGCUUAUCAGCUUGUUGGUGGGGUAGUGGCUUACCAAGGCUUUGACGGGUAGCCGGCCUGAGAGGGUGACCGGCCACAUUGGGACUGAGAUACGGCCCAGACUCCUACGGGAGGCAGCAGUGGGGAAUAUUGCACAAUGGGCGGAAGCCUGAUGCAGCAACGCCGCGUGCGGGAUGACGGCCUUCGGGUUGUAAACCGCUUUCGCCUGUGACGAAGCGUGAGUGACGGUAAUGGGUAAAGAAGCACCGGCUAACUACGUGCCAGCAGCCGCGGUGAUACGUAGGGUGCGAGCGUUGUCCGGAUUUAUUGGGCGUAAAGGGCUCGUAGGUGGUUGAUCGCGUCGGAAGUGUAAUCUUGGGGCUUAACCCUGAGCGUGCUUUCGAUACGGGUUGACUUGAGGAAGGUAGGGGAGAAUGGAAUUCCUGGUGGAGCGGUGGAAUGCGCAGAUAUCAGGAGGAACACCAGUGGCGAAGGCGGUUCUCUGGGCCUUUCCUGACGCUGAGGAGCGAAAGCGUGGGGAGCGAACAGGCUUAGAUACCCUGGUAGUCCACGCUGUAAACGGUGGGUACUAGGUGUGGGGUCCAUUCCACGGGUUCCGUGCCGUAGCUAACGCUUUAAGUACCCCGCCUGGGGAGUACGGCCGCAAGGCUAAAACCCAAAGGAAUUGACGGGGCCCCGCACAAGCGGCGGAGCAUGCGGAUUAAUUCGAUGCAACGCGUAGAACCUUACCUGGGUUUGACAUGGAUCGGGAGUGCUCAGAGAUGGGUGUGCCUCUUUUGGGGUCGGUUCACAGGUGGUGCAUGGCUGUCGUCAGCUCGUGUCGUGAGAUGUUGGGUUAAGUCCCGCAACGAGCGCAACCCUUGUUCACUGUUGCCAGCACGUUAUGGUGGGGACUCAGUGGAGACCGCCGGGGUCAACUCGGAGGAAGGUGGGGAUGACGUCAAGUCAUCAUGCCCCUUAUGUUCAGGGCUUCACGCAUGCUACAAUGGCUGGUACAGAGAGUGGCGAGCCUGUGAGGGUGAGCGAAUCUCGGAAAGCCGGUCUCAGUUCGGAUUGGGGUCUGCAACUCGACCUCAUGAAGUCGGAGUCGCUAGUAAUCGCAGAUCAGCAACGCUGCGGUGAAUACGUUCCCGGGGCU
This 1346-nucleotide ribosomal RNA is filed under the name uncultured bacterium. RNAcentral describes it as "partial 16S ribosomal RNA". It matches the Rfam family "Bacterial small subunit ribosomal RNA", at positions 28 to 1381 of the family's 1533-position model. The record is from RNAcentral.